This 442-nucleotide ribosomal RNA is filed under the name uncultured bacterium. RNAcentral describes it as "partial 16S ribosomal RNA". It matches the Rfam family "Bacterial small subunit ribosomal RNA", at positions 339 to 795 of the family's 1533-position model. The record is from RNAcentral.
CUACGGGCCGCAGCAGUGGGGAAUAUUGCACAAUGGAGGAAACUCUGAUGCAGCGACGCCGCGUGAGCGAAGAAGUAUUUCGGUAUGUAAAGCUCUAUCAGCAGGGAAGAAAAAAAUGACGGUACCUGACUAAGAAGCCCCGGCUAACUACGUGCCAGCAGCCGCGGUAAUACGUAGGGGGCAAGCGUUAUCCGGAUUUACUGGGUGUAAAGGGAGCGCAGGCGGUCUGACAAGUCUGAUGUGAAAGCCCGGGGCUCAACCCCGGGACUGCAUUGGAAACUGCCAGACUUGAGUGUCGGAGAGGUAAGUGGAAUUCCUAGUGUAGCGGUGAAAUGCGUAGAUAUUAGGAGGAACACCAGUGGCGAAGGCGGCUUACUGGACGACAACUGACGCUGAGGCUCGAAAGCGUGGGGAGCAAACAGGAUUAGAUACCCGAGUAGUC